RNAcentral lists this ribosomal RNA (468 nucleotides) under uncultured bacterium. Its description in RNAcentral is "bacterial SSU rRNA". It matches the Rfam family "Bacterial small subunit ribosomal RNA", at positions 329 to 795 of the family's 1533-position model. The record is from RNAcentral.
CGCCAGACUCCUACGGGAGGCAGCAGUGAGGAAUAUUGGUCAAUGGCCGAGAGGCUGAACCAGCCAAGUCGCGUGAGGGAAGACGUCCCUACGGGUUGUAAACCUCUUUUGUCAGGGAGCAAAGUCACCCACGUGUGGGUGUUGGAGAGUACCUGAAGAAAAAGCAUCGGCUAACUCCGUGCCAGCAGCCGCGGUAAUACGGAGGAUGCGAGCGUUAUCCGGAUUUAUUGGGUUUAAAGGGGGGGUAGGCGGGGUAUCAAGUCAGCGGUAAAAUCGUGGAGCUCAACUCCAUCCAGCCGUUGAAACUGGUGAUCUUGAGUGGGCGAGAAGUAUGCGGAAUGCGUGGUGUAGCGGUGAAAUGCAUAGAUAUCACGCAGAACUCCGAUUGCGAAGGCAGCAUACCGGGGCCCGACUGACGCUGAAGCACGAAAGCGUGGGGAUCGAACAGGAUUAGAUACCCUUGUACAC